AGAGUUUGAUUCUGGCUCAGAACGAACGUUGGCGGCGUGCAUUAGACAUGCAAGUCGAACGAACGACCUCGGGCUUGCCCGGGGAAGUGAGUGGCGAACGGCUGAGUAACGCGUAGGUGACCUGCCCAGAAGUGGGGAAUAACUGCCCGAAAGGGUGGCUAAUACCGCAUAUGGUCAUGAGUUCAUUCUCAUGUCCAAAGCCUUCGGGCGCUUCUGGAGGGGCCUGCGUUCGAUUAGCUCGUUGGUGGGGUAACGGCCUACCAAGGCGACGAUCGAUAGGUGGUCUGAGAGGAUGAGCACCCAGACUGGGACUGAGACACGGCCCAGACUCCUACGGGAGGCAGCAGUCGGGAAUUUUGCUCAAUGGGGGAAACCCUGAAGCAGCAACGCCGCGUGAGGGAUGACGGCCUUCGGGUUGUAAACCUCUUUUGUCAGGGACGAUAAUGACGGUACCUGAAGAAUAAGCCACGGCUAACUACGUGCCAGCAGCCGCGGUAAUACGUAGGUGGCAAGCGUUGUCCGGAUUUACUGGGCGUAAAGAGCGCGCAGGCGGCCAGGUCAGUCGAAUGUGAAAGCCCCCGGCUCAACUGGGGAAGGUCGUUCGAUACUGCUUGGCUCGAAGGUAGGAGAGGGAAGUGGAAUUUCAGGUGUAGUGGUGAAAUGCGUAGAUAUCUGAAGGAACACCAGUGGCGAAGGCGACUUUCUGGCCUAUUCUUGACGCUGAGGCGCGAAAGCUAGGGGAGCGAACGGGAUUAGAUACCCCGGUAGUCCUAGCCGUAAACGAUGAACACUAGAUGUUGGUGGUAUCAACCCCGCCAGUGUCGCAGCUAACGCAUUAAGUGUUCCGCCUGGGGAGUACGGCCGCAAGGCUAAAACUCAAAUGAAUUGACGG
Molecule: ribosomal RNA, 892 nt
Filed under: uncultured bacterium
Lineage: Bacteria
Description: bacterial SSU rRNA
Rfam family: Bacterial small subunit ribosomal RNA
Source: RNAcentral